This 490-nucleotide ribosomal RNA is filed under the name uncultured bacterium. RNAcentral describes it as "bacterial SSU rRNA". It matches the Rfam family "Bacterial small subunit ribosomal RNA", at positions 9 to 489 of the family's 1533-position model. The record is from RNAcentral.
GAGUUUGAUCCUGGCUCAGGAUGAACGCUAGCUACAGGCUUAACACAUGCAAGUCGAGGGGCAGCAUGAACUUAGCUUGCUAAGUUUGAUGGCGACCGGCGCACGGGUGAGUAACACGUAUCCAACCUGCCGAUGACUCGGGGAUAGCCUUUCGAAAGAAAGAUUAAUACCCGAUGGCAUAGUUCUUCCGCAUGGUAGAACUAUUAAAGAACUUCGGUCAUCGAUGGGGAUGCGUUCCAUUAGGUUGUUGGCGGGGUAACGGCCCACCAAGCCUUCGAUGGAUAGGGGUUCUGAGAGGAAGGCCCCCCACAUUGGAACUGAGACACGGUCCAAACUCCUACGGGAGGCAGCAGUGAGGAAUAUUGGUCAAUGGACGAGAGUCUGAACCAGCCAAGUAGCGUGAAGGAUGACUGCCCUAUGGGUUGUAAACUUCUUUUAUACGGGAAUAAAGUGAGGCACGUGUGCCUUUUUGUAUGUACCGUAUGAACAA